Long non-coding RNA from Xiphophorus couchianus (Monterrey platyfish), 135 nucleotides. RefSeq lists it as uncharacterized. The record is from RefSeq and is a predicted model, not a curated record. The transcript is spliced from 4 exons. NCBI's taxonomy places the organism in Eukaryota, Metazoa, Chordata, Actinopteri, Cyprinodontiformes, Poeciliidae.
UAGCUGGAUGCAUUCAGUAAUUAGUGAGAGUUUCCAUGACAACUACCGAGCUAAACGUCCUGCUAACUGGUUCAAACGUGACCGCGUACGACUGAGCUUCUAAAACAAAAACUCUGCUGUUAAAACGUGCUAUUU